GCUUGUCUCAAAGAUUAAGCCAUGCAUGUCUCAGUAUAAGCUUCUAUACGGCGAAACUGCGAAUGGCUCAUUAAAACAGUUAUAGUUUAUUUGGUGGUCAACUCUUACAUGGAUAACCGUAGUAAUUCUAGAGCUAAUACAUGCGUAAAUACCCAACUGCUUGUCGGACGGGUAGCAUUUAUUAGAUUGAAACCAAUGCAGCUUCGGCUGGUAUUGUGUUGAGUCAUAAUAACUGUGCGGAUCGCUUUUUAAGCGAUAAAUCGAUUGAGUUUCUGCCCUAUCAGCUUUGGAUGGUAGG
RNAcentral lists this ribosomal RNA (298 nucleotides) under uncultured fungus. Its description in RNAcentral is "partial small subunit ribosomal RNA". It matches the Rfam family "Eukaryotic small subunit ribosomal RNA", at positions 30 to 332 of the family's 1831-position model. The record is from RNAcentral. Lineage: Eukaryota; Fungi.